Molecule: long non-coding RNA, 3447 nt
Filed under: Equus caballus (horse)
Lineage: Eukaryota; Metazoa; Chordata; Mammalia; Perissodactyla; Equidae
Description: lncRNA (ENSECAG00000038781.3)
Source: RNAcentral
UAUAAAGUCCCUAGCAGAAAAUACAAGUCCUCCACCAUUGCCUGCAUCCCCUACAGUCGUGUUCUAUUCUAACGCAAUUGACUGUGUGCUUUCCCUGAACUCAUUCUAUGCUUUCAUCCCUUCUUGUCUUUUUUGUACCAAAUCUUCUCAAAAUUCCUUUCUCUUCUUUUUUCACCUCAACGCCUAUUCCCACCUCAAGGCCCAGCUCAAAUGUUACCACUUCUGUUAAGUCUCCUCUCGCAUGAUUCCUGGCGGAGUCUUUCGUUGCUUUCUUUGUGCAUCUGCAGCGUGGUCUUCAUGUUUGUCUAACAGCGAGUGCACCACAUUGUUUUUCAGCUGCCCUCUUACUAGACUGUGAAUGUUGAGAGCAAGAACAGUUAGCAAAUCAGCACAUUUAUUGAGAAAAAUCCUCCUAUUUGUGAGGCAUUGUGCUGGGGAUCAGAGCAGCAGCAGGGAAUGACUGAGGCUGGCGUCCAACAGCAUCUGUUGGGGUAGACAGAUGUGCAGCAAAUUAAUUUAGCAAGUAGUCGUUUAAAUACAUUUGUGAUAAGUGGGACAAAGGAAAAACAUGGGAUGCUAUGAGAACAAGGAACAGGGAAAUCCACCUGCACCUGAUGGGGCUGAGACAGCUUCCCUGGAGAAAAGACCUUUAAACCAAGAAAGAGAAGAGUUAACCAGGUGAAGAAUGCGGCGAGGAGAGAUACCAGGCAGAAGGAAUAACGCGUGAGGACGCCCUGCCAUAAGAAAGCCUGAAAUCCUGGAAGACCUGAAAUAAAACAAACAAACUUGAAUACAGACACAACAUGGGCGUGAGGCAUGGUGAGGAAAGGGAAGAUGGCUGUCAGAUGACGCUCUGGAUACCAGUUAGUGACUACAGAAUCGAUUUAUGAAAGAAGGAGCUCCCUCCUUAACAUGAAGAGCCACCCACACAGGGAGCAGCACCCUACCUGGCUUGCUGUCCCAGCCCCAGAACAGAUGGAUUCUGUUUCGGUUCCCAGCCAAUGGGAUGGCAGGCUUUCACUUUGAGUCACUGAAGACUGCGCCCACCUCACAAGUCUGCGGGCGGCCCUGGACUUGGCUUAGGCUGGGUCUACUGCCCGUGUGAGAACAGCACCACAUCUUCAAUUACAAGUUUGUGGAACAAUUUGCUCUGGGAAUAAAGAAGGAUGAUUUCCCUGCAGUUGGAGACGGACAGCGUCAGCAAAGAGUGCUGGAGUCCCAGAAACGGCUGGGAACUGGGAUGGCUUGUCUUGGGGAAGCUUCUCUCACUGCCCUCCUGCAGCCCAGCAUCCUGAGGACCCUGCUUGCCGUCCCAGGGAGGCUGUUUCUCAGAGCAUGGGAAAAGGAUUUCCUCGCUCAGGAGGGGAGCUUCUUCCCCAGACAGCUUCUGUCUGAGUCUGCCCCUGGCUGUGAAUGUCAGCAGAGCAGUGGGACCAGGCCACCUUGACCUGCACGCCAGCAUCACUGUCUCCAGAAGAACCGCCCUGCAUGUGCAUAUCAGUUCAUACAAUAGAAGUGUCAAUGAGGAAGAUUUAUCAUUUUCUCUCUGUUGGACGAACCGUGACCCUACAUGAUGAUCACUUCACAAAGAGAUCAAGUUAAACACUGCAUACUAUGUGUCCUUCACCGCUCAGAGCAUGGAAAAUGUGUGGCUUGGUAUAUAAAUUAAGGUAACCCUAAGUGCUGUUAAUGACUCUAAAAUUUCUGAGGCUUGACACAAGAGAAGUUUAUUUCUUGCCCAGGCACAGUCUAAUUGGCUAUGGGAAUAGGACUACUCUGCUCCACACAGUUAUUCAGGUACCUAGGCUGAGAGAGGUUCUGCUGUGUUCAACAUGUAACUUCCCAAGUCAUCCUGGAUGUCGCCAUCCCACUGGAAGGUGGAGGAAGAGGGAGAAUGGUGAGUCAUCCCUGGGGAGCUUUUAUGGGCCAAGCCAGGAAGUGAUGCCCAUGAUCCCUCCCAUGUCAUUGGCUAGAGCUCAGUCACAUAGUCACACCUAACUGCAAGGAAGGCUGGGUAAUGUAGCCCAACUGUGGGCCCAGGAAGAAGAGGGAAUGGGUUCUGGCAACCACAAAGCAGUCUUGGCCACCAGAGGAAAUUUUGUAUGAAACUGGAAAUCAGUGAUGCUAAAGAGACUUGAUGCUAGUGAGAGGGAAGCUAAUAUUGAAUGCCAUAUUCAGAGCAAAUACAAACUUGAUUAUUUAUAAGGUCAUACAGAACUACCUACCUAUCCCUGAUGUGGUGGAAAAUGCAUUGAUCUUGAAGACACGAAAGAUGCCCGCCAGCUCUGGGCCCAUGGCAAAUCAGUCCUCUGAACAUUACGUGCCUCCUCAGCCAAAUAGAGGAGCUGGAGCAGCUUCAGGAGUCUGCGAGUUCACAUACAGCGUCUAAGGACACGAGAGGACAGCAGUCGGACCAGGAAGGGACCCUCUCGUGACCACCACAUUCUCAUCACAAAAGAUUUUGAUCAUCAGUCAGACCUGGGAGAAUGGUGACCUUGAUCCUCACGAUCUACUGUGCAAUGGAAGUCACCGAAUGGAUUUUUUUUCAGGAGUAACACGCCUGGAAUACAGCCACCUCUGUUCUACUACUGACCAAACUUGAGCCAUCUUUCUGGGCCCAGGUGAAAUUCACCUAUCUAUCACUCAGAGAAUAGUCAGUGUGCACCAUCCACAUACGCUGUGCUGGGCAGUAGGUACACGGAUGACUCAGGCCUGGUCCUGGCCCUCAGAGAGCUGGCUGUCCACUGGAAAAGGAGACAACACCACACGAGGCUGGUGAGUCUUUCUAUCGUAAGAUGGGGUGGAAGAAACAUAGCUGUGACUCAUCCCAUGCUGAAAAUGUGAAGAUUCCAAGACAAGAAGAGGCUGUGGGAAGCCCCAUAGCACAGCAAGAAAAGACAGGCCAAAACUUUGGGAGUGAGAAGAGAGGAGAGCCUGCUGCCCGGAAGAGAGAAAAGAGGGUAUAUAUUGAGAGAGAGUGAAGGGGAUCCACAUAGUACACUUUUGAUCACUCAAGGAGCAUUCACAGGGGGAUACCCUUAGAAGCAGUAGGGCUCCACACCUGCAUAUAGGGCAAGAAGAACAAUGAGGCAGAGACUGCAUCUGACUUCCCACCCCUCACCACAACUCUCUGAAGUCUAACACUGAGAACUUCCUUCAAGUUGUGGGUAUGUGUCCCCUUGGACCAACCACCCACAUCGUGAUAACUAGGUUAUACCUAAGACAUUUUUAGUGAGGACUUUAGGAAGCCCUGGGAAGGUAUCUCUUUUGUUAAGAGAGGAAUCCAGAGAGAUUUGGCAGAUGUGCUGUAAUGAAGUACAUGCACUGAGCAGAUGCUCCAAGGUCACCUACUUGUCCUGCAGAGUCAUAUGGCUCUAUUUUGGGUUUAGAAGGUGGAAACAUUAAUAUCAUGUCAUUUGUAUCUACUGUUAUGUAACAAAUUAAAAA